This 515-nucleotide unclassified non-coding RNA is filed under the name Hevea brasiliensis (rubber tree). Lineage: Eukaryota; Viridiplantae; Streptophyta; Magnoliopsida; Malpighiales; Euphorbiaceae. The record is from RNAcentral.
UUUGGUGCCAGAGGCUCUGGGUCUCGGUAAUUGGGUGAAGGCUCAGGAGUGGGCUGCGCAGCCCGGCGGACAGGCGACGUAUCUUGGCAAUCCAGUACCAUGGGGUACUCUCCCAACCAUCCUUGCCAUCGAGUUCCUCGCUAUCGCCUUCGUCGAGCAUCAACGGAACAUGGAGAAAGACCCUGAGAAGAAGAAGUACCCAGGCGGAGCUUUCGACCCUCUCGGCUUCUCCAAGGACCCUGUCAAGUUCAAGGAGUACAAGAUCAAGGAGGUCAAAAAUGGUCGGCUGGCAUUGUUGGCAUUUGUUGGUUUCGUGGUCCAGCAAUCGGCUUACCCUGGAACUGGGCCGCUGGAGAAUUUGGCUACACAUUUGUCCGAUCCAUGGCACAAGAACAUUGGCGACGUCUUGAUUCCAACAAACAUUUUGCCAUGAGAGCUCAAGAUUACAGAGCUGGUUUUCACCACCUACCAUGUUGUAAAACUCAAUGUAAUCAUCUGUACAACUUGUAUUCCUG